AGAGUUUGAUCAUGGCUCAGGACGAACGCUGGCGGCGCGCUUAACACAUGCAAGUCGAGCGAGAACCCUCCUUCGGGAGGGGGAAAGCGGCGAACGGGUGAGUAACACGUGAGUAAUCCACCCUCGGCACCGGGAUAGCCCGGGGAAACUCGGAUUAAUACCGGAUGGCCCAGCAGCCCUGCGGGGCGGCUGGAAAAGGUAGCUUCGGCCUCUGGCCGAGGACGAGCUCGCGGCGGAUUAGCUUGUUGGUGGGGUAACGGCCUACCAAGGCGACGAUCCGUAGCUGGUCUGAGAGGACGAUCAGCCACACUGGGACUGAGACACGGCCCAGACUCCUACGGGAGGCAGCAGUGGGGAAUCUUGCGCAAUGGGCGAAAGCCUGACGCAGCGACGCCGCGUGAGGGAAGAAGGCUUUCGGGUUGUAAACCUCUUUCAGGAGGGACGAAGCCACUCGGGUGAAUAGCCCAGAGGGUGACGGUACCUCCAGAAGAAGCCCCGGCUAACUACGUGCCAGCAGCCGCGGUA
This 525-nucleotide ribosomal RNA is filed under the name uncultured Actinomycetes bacterium. RNAcentral describes it as "bacterial SSU rRNA". It matches the Rfam family "Bacterial small subunit ribosomal RNA", at positions 8 to 522 of the family's 1533-position model. The record is from RNAcentral. Lineage: Bacteria; Bacillati; Actinomycetota; Actinomycetes.